CCUACGGGAGGCAGCAGUAGGGAAUCUUCCGCAAUGGACGAAAGUCUGACGGAGCAACGCCGCGUGAACGAUGAAGGCCUUCGGGUCGUAAAGUUCUGUUGUUAGGGAAGAACAAGUGCUAGUUAAAUAAGCUGGCACCUUGACGGUACCUAACCAGAAAGCCACGGCUAACUACGUGCCAGCAGCCGCGGUAAUACGUAGGUGGCAAGCGUUGUCCGGAAUUAUUGGGCGUAAAGCGCGCGCAGGCGGUUUCUUAAGUCUGAUGUGAAAGCCCCCGGCUCAACCGGGGAGGGUCAUUGGAAACUGGGAAACUUGAGUGCAGAAGAGGAAAGUGGAAUUCCAAGUGUAGCGGUGAAAUGCGUAGAGAUUUGGAGGAACACCAGUGGCGAAGGCGACUUUCUGGUCUGUAACUGACGCUGAGGCGCGAAAGCGUGGGGAGCAAACAGGAUUAGAUACCCUGGUAGUCCACGCUGUAAACGAUGAGUGCUAAGUGUUAGAGGGUUUCCGCCCUUUAGUGCUGAAGUUAACGCAUUAAGCACUCCGCCUGGGGGAGGUACGGUCGCGAGACUAGAACUACAAGAAGUAGUAGGACGUGAGAGACGCGACGACGACGACGACGGGAGGAGGAG
This 629-nucleotide ribosomal RNA is filed under the name uncultured bacterium. RNAcentral describes it as "bacterial SSU rRNA". It matches the Rfam family "Bacterial small subunit ribosomal RNA", at positions 338 to 961 of the family's 1533-position model. The record is from RNAcentral.